GAUGAACGCUGGCGGCGUGCCUAAUACAUGCAAGUCGAGCGAACAGACGAGGAGCUUGCUCCUUCGACGUUAGCGGCGGACGGGUGAGUAACACGUAGGUAACCUACCUAUAAGACUGGGAUAACUUUGGGAAACCGGAGCUAAUACCGGAUAAUAUUUCGAACCGCAUGGUUCGAUAGUGAAAGAUGGCUUUGCUAUCACUUAUAGAUGGACAUGCGCCGUAUUAGCUAGUUGGUAAGGUAACGGCUUACCAAGGCAACGAUACGUAGCCGACCUGAGAGCGUGAACGACUAGAUUGUAUGUGAGACACGGUCCAGACACUUACAGGAGGCAGCAGCCGGGACUCUUCCGCAAUGCGGGAGAGCCUGAUGGAGCAAAGCGGCGUGAGUGCUGAAGGUGUCAUGCUGGUAGAACUAUGUAGUUAGGAGAGUAGAAAAGUGCUAGCAACGGUGACGGUCCUGACGGUACCUGAUGAGAAAGCCACGGCUAACUACGUG
Molecule: ribosomal RNA, 497 nt
Filed under: uncultured bacterium
Lineage: Bacteria
Description: partial 16S ribosomal RNA
Rfam family: Bacterial small subunit ribosomal RNA
Source: RNAcentral